Molecule: RNA transcript, 2366 nt
Organism: Hippopotamus amphibius kiboko
Lineage: Eukaryota; Metazoa; Chordata; Mammalia; Artiodactyla; Hippopotamidae
Gene: PDK3
Gene name: pyruvate dehydrogenase kinase 3
Exons: 14
Source: RefSeq, a predicted model, not a curated record
AUGCGGCUGUUCCGGUGGCUGCUGAAGCAGCCGGUGCCCAAGCAGAUUGAGCGCUACUCGCGCUUCUCGCCAUCGCCGCUCUCCAUCAAGCAGUUCCUGGACUUCGAGUGGUGCCUUGUCAAGCGCGGAGGGAAUCCUCGCAAUUGCUGAAUGCGAGGCAGCUGGUUGUGAAACACCUUAAAGUGAAAAAGUGCGCACGCCAGUAUCAGGACCGAACGCGGCAUCCUAGAAGGAAAAGAAAAUGGAGCAGCAAAGAUGUUCUAAGCUCUCAAAGGAAAAUAAUGGGGCGGCUGGUCGUUUAAUGAAUUUUAAGUAAAUGUCAAGAGAUGGUGUCAGGGAGAGAUAAUGCAUGUGAGAAAACUUCAUAUAUGUUCCUACGAAAGGAGCUUCCUGUGCGCCUGGCUAACACAAUGAGAGAAGUUAACCUUCUGCCAGAUAACUUGCUUAACCGCCCUUCGGUGGGAUUGGUUCAGAGUUGGUAUAUGCAGAGUUUUCUUGAACUUCUAGAAUAUGAAAAUAAGAGCCCUGAAGAUCCACAGGUCUUGGAUAACUUUCUACAAGUUCUAAUUAAAGUCAGAAAUAGACACAAUGAUGUGGUUCCUACAAUGGCCCAAGGAGUGAUCGAGUACAAGGAGAAGUUUGGGUUUGACCCGUUCAUUAGUAGUAACAUCCAGUAUUUUCUGGACCGGUUUUAUACCAACCGCAUCUCUUUCCGUAUGCUCAUUAACCAGCACACACUUCUGUUUGGAGGUGACACCAAUCCUGCACACCCCAAACACAUAGGAAGCAUUGAUCCCACCUGCAAUGUGGCUGAUGUUGUGAAAGAUGCAUAUGAAACCGCUAAGAUGCUUUGUGAACAGUAUUAUCUGGUAGCUCCAGAGCUGGAAGUUGAAGAAUUCAAUGCCAAAGCUCCAGACAAACCUAUUCAGGUAGUUUAUGUGCCCUCACAUCUGUUUCACAUGCUAUUUGAGUUGUUCAAGAACUCAAUGAGAGCGACAGUUGAACUAUAUGAAGAUAGAAAAGAAGGCUACCCAGCUGUUAAAACUCUUGUUACUCUGGGUAAAGAAGACUUAUCCAUUAAGAUAAGUGACCUAGGUGGUGGGGUCCCACUACGAAAAAUAGAUCGUCUUUUUAACUACAUGUAUUCAACUGCCCCGAGACCUAGCCUGGAGCCUACAAGAGCCGCCCCGCUGGCUGGAUUUGGUUAUGGCUUGCCAAUUUCUCGCCUGUAUGCUAGAUAUUUUCAAGGAGAUCUAAAACUCUAUUCUAUGGAAGGCGUGGGUACUGAUGCUGUCAUUUAUUUGAAGGCUCUUUCAAGUGAAUCAUUUGAGAGACUUCCAGUUUUUAAUAAGUCUGCGUGGCGCCAUUACAAGACCACACCUGAAGCUGACGAUUGGAGCAUUCCCAGCAGUGAACCCAGGGAUGCUUCCAAAUACAAGGCGAAACAGUAUUGUGAUGAACCUCUGCAGUAUUGCUGGACUGGCCUCUGACCUCGAUGAAAUUUAGAAGCGUUUGAUUUGUGCACAUGAGUGUGAGCAUACACACAGGUGUGUGUACACACGUACACACCCUGGCCAAGAUUAAGCUAAGUCAGCUUGAAACACCUGGAUCAAUUUCCCUUGAUUCCGUUUUCAAUCCAAAUGUACGUCAAGCACCAUGUUGGGCAUCAGUGGACAAGAUCAAGACUAACAGAACUUUGUAAAGAACUGAAUGCUUCGGUCCUCUCCAUGAAGAGAAGAUGGUCUUCUGCAAGUCACCCAGAAAGAACUCCUUUCCUCCACCAACUCUGCGUGUGGCACUAUAGUUAAUCCAGUGCUUGAAUGUGUAUUUUCUCCGUAUGAGCUGGACCUUUUCCACAGAAGUUUUCUGUAGCUACUUCAGAUCUUCCACUAAAGUAGUAACUCGAGUCAUUUUUCGUAGUACGUUGCAGUGGUUUGGUUGGCACCUGACAGAAGGGGGCACAGAGCCUCAUUAGUGCUCAUGUCUUCAUACCUCUGUCCUGGUUAUCAUAGAGUAUGUACAGUCUCCCCAGAUGUCUCAGCUCCCUCCCUGUUCCAGCCCAUCUCUCCUGUUGCUCUCUGAGACCAAAUACCAUGUUUGUCGCAAACCACCAGCUAAGGCCUGGGGAGCCUGGAAGUUGAAGACAUCAGCUGAGCAUAUCUUGAUAAUUAGAUUCCAAGGCCCUUCCUCUCUCUCAGGCAUCCCUCCUCACUCUUUGAUUUAGAUGUUGGCCUUCUUCCAUCUGACCAGAUUCUAAUUGUGAGGUGUGGGUACUUUCUUGUUAGAUCUUCCUCUUGGAUGCAUAGAUUUUAUUUUGAAAUUCUUUUGUGUACUUCCAUUCUGUCGAUUAAAGCAUACCAAAAAUU